Molecule: ribosomal RNA, 900 nt
Filed under: uncultured bacterium
Lineage: Bacteria
Description: bacterial SSU rRNA
Rfam family: Bacterial small subunit ribosomal RNA
Source: RNAcentral
AGGAUGAACGCUAGCUAUAGGCUUAACACAUGUAAGUCGAGGGGCAGCGAAUAGAUAGCUUGCUAUUUAUGUCGGCGACCGGCGCACGGGUGAGUAACGCGUAUCCAACCUGCCCAUAACUAAGGGAUAACCCAGCGAAAGUUGGACUAAUACCUUAUGUAUUCGUUUGAUCUCAUGAGAUUACGAAUAAAGAUUUAUCGGUUAUGGAUGGGGAUGCGUCUGAUUAGCUUGUUGGCGGGGUAACGGCCCACCAAGGCAACGAUCAGUAGGGGUUCUGAGAGGAAGGUCCCCCACAUUGGAACUGAGACACGGUCCUAACUCCUACGGGAGGCAGCAGUGAGGAAUAUUGGUCAAUGGGCGGGAGCCUGAACCAGCCAAGUAGCGUGCAGGAAGACGGCCCUAUGGGUUGUAAACUGCUUUUAUGCGGGGAUAAAGGAGUCCACGUGUGGGCUUUUGCAGGUACCGCAUGAAUAAGGACCGGCUAAUUCCGUGCCAGCAGCCGCGGUAAUACGGAAGGUCCGGGCGUUAUCCGGAUUUAUUGGGUUUAAAGGGAGCGUAGGCCGCGUUUUAAGCGUGUUGUGAAAUGUAGGCGCCCAACGUCUGCAUCGCAGCGCGAACUGGAACGCUUGAGUACGCGCAACGUUGGCGGAAUUCGUCGUGUAGCGGUGAAAUGCUUAGAUAUGACGAAGAACUCCGAUUGCGAAGGCAGCUGACGGGAGCGGCACUGACGCUUAAGCUCGAAGGUGCGGGUAUCAAACAGGAUUAGAUACCCUGGUAGUCCGCACGGUAAACGAUGGAUGCUCGCUGUGUGCCUUUUGUGGGUACGCGGGCUAAGCGAAAGCGUUAAGCAUCCCACCUGGGGAGUACGCCGGCCAACGGUGAAACUCAAAGGGAAUUUGA